AGAACGAACGCUGGCGGCAUGCCUAACACAUGCAAGUCGAACGCUCCUGGGGCUUCGGUCUCAGGGGAGUGGCGCACGGGUGAGUAGCGCGUGGGAACCUGCCCUGUUGUGGGGGAUAACCGAGGGAAACUUCGGCUAAUACCGCAUAAGCCGGUUGUCUUGAAAGAGAUGGCCGGGAAAGAUUUAUCGCGACAGGAGGGGCCCGCGUCGGAUUAGCUAGUUGGUGGGGUAACGGCCCACCAAGGCAGUGAUCCGUAGCUGGUCUGAGAGGAUGAUCAGCCACACUGGGACUGAGACACGGCCCAGACUCCUACGGGAGGCAGCAGUGGGGGAAUAUUGGACAAUGGGCGCAAGCCUGAUCCAGCAAUGCCGCGUGAGUGAUGAAGGCCUUAGGGUUGUAAAGCUCUUUCGCCCGCGACGAUGAUGACGGUAGCGGGAGAAGAGCCCGGCUAACUUCGUGCCAGCAGCCGCGGU
RNAcentral lists this ribosomal RNA (474 nucleotides) under uncultured bacterium. RNAcentral's name for it is "SSU rRNA". It matches the Rfam family "Bacterial small subunit ribosomal RNA", at positions 26 to 521 of the family's 1533-position model. The record is from RNAcentral.